This 498-nucleotide ribosomal RNA is filed under the name uncultured bacterium. RNAcentral's name for it is "partial 16S ribosomal RNA". It matches the Rfam family "Bacterial small subunit ribosomal RNA", at positions 30 to 523 of the family's 1533-position model. The record is from RNAcentral.
AUUGAACGCUGGCGGAAUGCUUUACACAUGCAAGUCGAACGGCGGCACGGACCUCGGUCUGGUGGCGAGUGGCGAACGGGUGAGUAAUGUAUCGGAACGUGCCCAGUCGUGGGGGAUAACGUAGUGAAAAUUACGCUAAUACCGCAUACGAUCUAUGGAUGAAAGCGGGGGGUCGCAAGACCUCGCGCGAUUGGAGCGGCCGAUAUCAGAUUAGGUAGUUGGUGGGAAAAGGCCAACAAAGCCAACGAUCUGGAACUGGUCUAAGAGAACGACCGGCCACACGGGAACGAGGCACCGGUCCAAAUUCUUACGGGAGGCACCAUUGGGGAUUUUUGAACAAUGGGGGAAAGCCUAAUCCGGCCAUUCCGCGUGCAGGAUGAAGGCCUCGGGUUGUAAACUGCUUUUGUACAGAACGAAAAGGUUUCAACUAAUACUAGGAGCUCAUGACGGUACUGUAAGAAUAAGCACCGGCUAACUACGUGCCAGCCGCCGCGGUAA